CCUACGGGCGGCUGCAGUCGAGAAUCAUUCACAAUGGGGGAAACCCUGAUGGUGCGACGCCGCGUGGGGGAAUGAAGGUCUUCGGAUUGUAAACCCCUGUCAUGUGGGAGCAAAUUAAAAAGAUAGUACCACAAGAGGAAGAGACGGCUAACUCUGUGCCAGCAGCCGCGGUAAUACAGAGGUCUCAAGCGUUGUUCGGAAUCACUGGGCGUAAAGCGUGCGUAGGCUGUUUCGUAAGUCGUGUGUGAAAGGCGCGGGCUCAACCCGCGGACGGCACAUGAUACUGCGAGACUAGAGUAAGGGAGGGGGAACCGGAAUUCUCGGUGUAGCAGUGAAAUGCGUAGAUAUCGAGAGGAACACUCGUGGCGAAGGCGGGUUCCUGGACAUUAACUGACGCUGAGGCACGAAGGCCAGGGGAGCGAAAGGGAUUAGAUACCCGUGUAGUC
Molecule: ribosomal RNA, 446 nt
Filed under: uncultured bacterium
Lineage: Bacteria
Description: partial 16S ribosomal RNA
Rfam family: Bacterial small subunit ribosomal RNA
Source: RNAcentral